GGUCGCGUGGCUGAGCGGUCUAAGGCGCUGGAUUAAUGCUCCAGUCUCUUCGGGGGCGUGGGUUAGAAUCCCACCGCUGCCA
Molecule: non-coding RNA, 82 nt
Organism: Danio rerio (zebrafish)
Lineage: Eukaryota; Metazoa; Chordata; Actinopteri; Cypriniformes; Danionidae
Source: Rfam